Molecule: long non-coding RNA, 2000 nt
Organism: Drosophila yakuba
Lineage: Eukaryota; Metazoa; Arthropoda; Insecta; Diptera; Drosophilidae
Exons: 4
Source: RefSeq, a predicted model, not a curated record
UUUAGUGUCAGUUGUUUUCCGUUUCCAAAUUUAUGUCUACGAAAUCUACAAAAUGUUUAGCCCAUCUACAUUUUCCAAGUAAGCUUACACUAUUUGUUAGUUUUAAACACAUACAACAACAACAUUGAAUCUCAACAAAUAAAUCGCAAAUCUCUUGAUUGGAGGGAUGAAAGCGCAGUUGCAAUUAAGAUAUAAAGCCGAUGAGAAGCUCAAUAAUUGAUGCAUUAAUUGGAAUUUAUUACACUUCACCCAAAAUGUUUGAGUAACCUUUUAACUUUUGGAAAAGAAGUAACACAUUUAAGAUAACUUAAAGAUAUUAUUUCAAUGAACCAAGUGGAAAACGUUCGUCUCAGAAGUUGAGUGUGAGAAUAUAAGAAUCUCAACAUUUAAUUUACCACCUCCCAGGCACCCACAUCAUCGCACAUCAUCAUCUUAAGCGGCAAAGGGCAUAAUGCCCGAAUCCAGAAGUGGACAAAAAUUGAAUCUCCCGGCAUAUGGUUAUAAUCCCGCCAAGCGUAUUAGCAACUUGGCCGGGGAAUGGAAAAUGGGAAAUUGGGGGGAGUGUAGAGAACGUUUCAAUUCGAAUACAUGCGGGAUGAUAGUAGUUCAGAUGACCGGCUUAGUCAGUAAUCAACUGCAGUUCGGGGUGGAAAGUGCCAAAUGGAAAGUGGGCGGGGAAAUCGCUCUUCUUGUUGCGGAAUUGACGCGCACCAAUACAUGGCCACUGUGCUCCGUUACGCACAUGAGGGCGAUCUCUCACACACACACACACACGCUUGCACACACACACUCGCAGCGGAGCACACACACAGGGAGAGUAAUGAAUUGAUGGUUAUUUUCAAAAAUCCAACGACUGUCCGCGCGAUCACUGCACAAAUCAGUUGUGGAAUCGCCCUCGAGCGGCAAUGUUCUCCGCGUUCUCGAACUCGGACCUCAGAUCGCUGAUCUUGGACUCCCGAAACCCGUGUGAAAUCUAUGUAUAUCUAUGCAACAUCCACCGAGGAAUAGUUGAAAUCGGUGCUUCACACUAUCUGGCUCUUGUCGGCUUGAGCUGCUCAUCAAUUAAAAAUUCCAUAUUAGUAUGCACGAAAAUAUAUAAAAUAUACGCCUGAGAUGGGCGACAACUGGUCAAUUCUCCGCUCGGGGUUAAGACCCUACCCAAGGCGCGAUAAUCGCAAUCAAAGUUCUCGUCGCCGAGCGCCAACCGCAGUGCCUACAGCAACAUCAGCGAUGAGUCUUCCCGGCGAGUGGAUCUGAAUCUCUAUCUCCCACCCACUCUCUUCCUUGGAUUCUCCAGAACGCCGAAAACUUGGUGCCACGGAACCCGAAGAUGUCUCGAGAUCAAGGGUGAAUAUUGGAUGUUUAAACUAGAUGUAUAGUGCUAGAUGUACGAUGUACUUACCAAGUUCGCUUUCCUAAGUACUAGUGCCGCAGGAGUUAGGUUCGUGUCCGCAAUACCUCCUGCUGCCCAAGUGCUUAUUAAAGCGGCGAGUUGCCCAGCAAAAGAAUACACAGUGCGCAGUGCUUCGAUUCCAUUUAGUUAUAAUUUAAUUGUAUUUAAUAUUUCUCCUAAUAGUUACAAAAACUAGGCUUGACAAAUUAUACUAAUCUUUGCGUUUGCUGUUCGUAGCGCACGAGUAUCGCCUGCCGCCGCAUACAUUUCGGGAUUAAGUGGCAGCAAUUCUCUAAGAUACAUACACUUUUUAUUCAGAUACAUAUAUGUACUAUCCUCAAGCUGUAAGGUGCCCGCUCCAGGGAAGAAACGCCGCUGUAACCUCAUCCUGAGUUUAGAAUUCAGGCCUGAGAGUUUCGAGUGCCAAAGUGCGAGGCUCUGGAAGGGACACACACUCUUCGGAUCGCUCCGAAGAUUUUGUACAUAUGUUGCGGCAUUGCAAUUGUUCUAUAAAUGCUUAAUUUAAUCCUAGAUGGGGGCAACACAACGUACAUCGGAGCGAACGGCACAUUUCGUCCUCACAAUAAAUUAUGAACUAUGUUAUAUA